Molecule: ribosomal RNA, 997 nt
Filed under: uncultured bacterium
Lineage: Bacteria
Also listed under: 1 other name
Description: bacterial SSU rRNA
Rfam family: Bacterial small subunit ribosomal RNA
Source: RNAcentral
UGGGGGAUAUUGCACAAUGGGGGAAACCCUGAUGCAGCGACCCCGCGUGGAGGAAGAAGGUUUUCGGAUUGUAAACUCCUGUCGUUAGGGACGAUAAUGACGGUACCUAACAAGAAAGCACCGGCUAACUACGUGCCAGCAGCCGCGGUAAAACGUAGGGUGCAAGCGUUGUCCGGAAUUACUGGGUGUAAAGGGAGCGCAGGCGGGAAGACAAGUUGGAAGUGAAAACCAUGGGCUCAACCCAUGAAUUGCUUUCAAAACUGUUUUUCUUGAGUAGUGCAGAGGUAGAUGGAAUUCCCGGUGUAGCGGUGGAAUGCGUAGAUAUCGGGAGGAACACCAGUGGCGAAGGCGGUCUACUGGGCACCAACUGACGCUGAGGCUCGAAAGCAUGGGUAGCAAACAGGAUUAGAUACCCUGGUAGUCCAUGCCGUAAACGAUGAUUACUAGGUGUUGGGGGAUUGACCCCCUCAGUGCCGCAGUUAACACAAUAAGUAAUCCACCUGGGGAGUACGACCGCAAGGUUGAAACUCAAAGGAAUUGACGGGGGCCCGCACAAGCAGUGGAGUAUGUGGUUUAAUUCGAAGCAACGCGAAGAACCUUACCAGGUCUUGACAUCCGAUGCAUAGCACAGAGAUGUGUGAAAUCCUUCGGGACAUCGAGACAGGUGGUGCAUGGUUGUCGUCAGCUCGUGUCGUGAGAUGUUGGGUUAAGUCCCGCAACGAGCGCAACCCUUAUUGCCAGUUACUACGUUAAGAGGACUCUGGCGAGACUGCCGUUGACAAAACGGAGGAAGGUGGGGAUGACGUCAAAUCAUCAUGCCCUUUAUGACCUGGGCUACACACGUACUACAAUGGCGUUAAACAAAGAGAAGCAAGACCGCGAGGUGGAGCAAAACUCAAAAACAACGUCUCAGUUCAGAUUGCAGGCUGCAACUCGCCUGCAUGAAGUCGGAAUUGCUAGUAAUCGCGGAUCAGCAUGCCGCGGUGAAUACGUUCCC